This 3087-nucleotide long non-coding RNA is filed under the name Piliocolobus tephrosceles (Ugandan red Colobus). Its description in RNAcentral is "lncRNA (ENSPTEG00000015077.1)". The record is from RNAcentral. Lineage: Eukaryota; Metazoa; Chordata; Mammalia; Primates; Cercopithecidae.
UGAGAAAAUUGUAUAUCCACAUUUUUAUUUAUUUUUAUUUAUUUUUUUAUGUUAACGUUUUAUGUUUUAAAUUUUUUAAAAUAUGUUUGCAUGUACUGCAAAAUGCCCAGACACAUAAAUAUGCAUGUGUAUACAUAAUUCUACCAGCUCUUUAUUUUGUUUUAUUUUAUUUUAUUUUAUUUAUUUUUUUUUUUUUUAGUAACCUUAAUGUGGUAUAAACUUACGCAUGAAAAAUGCAAAUCUAAAUUUUAUUUUUAUUCCACUUGAGUCACAUAUGACUUUUAUUUUUUUUGUCUUAAUUUUACAAAAUUCGCACACAUACAUAUGCACAUAUCUAUAUGUACAUGUAUGAUAGAGGAAGGAAAAAAAAACUAAAAAAGUGAACAUAUAAAUAUACCAAUACAUACAUAUAUAUAUAUAUAUAUAUAUAUAUAUAUAUAUAUGAUGUGUAUAACACAUAUUUAAGAGCAGGAUAACAAAACAAAACCUAAGUAAACAUAUAUACUACUGUCUUUUAUCACAGAAGAAAAAUAUAGAAAACUGUUUUUACAUUCUAGCUCGAAAAGUGUUUAUAUAUAUAUAUAUAUAUAUAUAAUAUUUUCGUGUUUAUAAAAAAAAAAAAAAAAAACGCUUGACCUAUUUUAUAUUUUUACUACUACUGCUACUAUUUUAUUUUAGUCCAUACGCACAUAUUAAAAAUGGAAGGAAGGAUUAAAAGUAAACUAGAGGAUAACAUAGAUUACAUCAAAUCAUGUAUUGGCUACUCUUUGUCGAAAUCAUUACUGUUAACAAUAAAAACUGACACAGAUGGUAAUAUAUAUAUAUAUGUAUGUAUCUACAUAUGCAUCGAAUAGCCCCAUAAUAUGCUUAUUACUAUACCAUGUUUUUUUUUUUUUUUUUUUUUUUUUUUUUUUUUUUGCGUUAUGUAAAAACACCAAACAUACAGACCCGCUACCCAUUGUCAGACAAUACUUGAAAAACCUUGCUACUUUUAAUGAAGAAAAGGAAAAAAAAAAAAAAAAUUUAAUGAAAAAACUGAAUUCAUGCAAUAUUAAAAUAAAUGACGAAAUAAAAAAAGAUUUAACUGAAAAAAAAGUGAAAGAUAUUUAUAAAUUUAUAAAUAAAAAUAAAAUUGAAAAUUUAUACGACAUUUUUAAUGAUUUGUUAAACCUCAUUAAAAAUGUAUUUCAUGUAGAAAAUGUGUAUAUUGGGAAAGUCUACAAAAAGAAAGAAAAAAAAGAAAUUGCAAAAAAAAAAAGAAAUUUCAAAAAGGAAAAGACAAAAAAUGAAAAAAAAGAAACAAUCAAACAUGUUCUUAAAUUUAUAUAUACUAGUGAAAAUUGUGAUUUAAAAAAUGAAAUCCUUCUUAAUGAAAACGAAAUUAAUAACAUGUUUUUGCAAGUAACUAAAAAUAAGGAAACAGAUUUUCUUUUUGUAAAAACUUAUUUAUUUCAUAAUAUCGUAAAAAAAAAAUUUAUAUAUGAGGACCUGCAUGAAAAUUUAUUUUUUAAUAUAAACCCAUUUUAUGAAAACAUAAACCAGUUAAAAAAAGUAAAAAAAGAAAUAUACAAUUACUCAAAAAGCGAGAAAAAGGUUAAUGGUAGUGGUAGUGAUGAUGACAAAGGUGAUGACGGUGGUGACGAUGACAAUAGUGACGAUGACAAUGGUGACGAUGACAAUGGUGACGAUGACAAUGGUGACGAUGACAAUGGUGACGAUGACAAUGGUGACGAUGACAAUGGUGACGAUGACAAUGGUGACGAUGACAAUGGUGACGAUGACAAUGGUGACGAUGACAAUAGUGGCAAUGACAAUAGUGGCGAUGACAAGAAUAGGAAAAACGACAACAGUUCUAAUAACAAACGAGAAUCAAAAGAGUUUUCAAAAUUAGAUAAAACAAAAGAUAAUAUACAUAUGUGCGAAGAAGAUAAAUUACAAAACAAUUUACUUAAAACAUUACAUUUAAAUGUUAAUUACAAUUUUAUAUAUAUUUAUGAAGUUAUGGAAAAGUAUAACUCCUUUUUAUAUACUUAUACAAAACCAGGAGAUUUCGUUUUAAUUCCGAUAGUAUAUGAAACAUAUUACAAUUUAAUUUUUUUAAAUAAAUUAUAUGACUUAGAAAAAAAAAAAAUAUUACAAUCGGACAUAGUCAAAGAUGGCACAGCCUCUUCAGAAUUGUCACCAAAAGAAAAAGACCAAAUAAGUAACGUAUUGAGCCCGAGUCCCUCAAAAAACGAACAAACUGACACAGAACAAAAAGGAAAGGGAGAAAAAGAAAAGCUUUCUGAACACAUGCAACACUUAAAAUCCGACGUGAAAGUUCAAAUGUGUCUUUGCGUUGACAACAGAGGGAGUAUAAAUAAGUUAAAUAAAUUUCAAAUUAAUAUGCUUAUAAUUUUUACUUAUUUUUUAAUUACUCGGAUAUUAAUAUGCGAAAGAAAAUGUAUUGAUGAACAGGUUUACUAUAUGAUCGACUGCGAAUACGGAGAAACAAAAGAAAUUAUCGAUAAAUUGACGAAAAAAAUGCAGGAAAAUUAUUAUGAACGUGUAAUAAACAAAUUUCAAAAAGACAUAAAAGAACAUCAUUACUAUGAAAAAUCACCAGAAUUAAUUAAAUAUAUGUCUACACUACUUUGGAUACAAAAAAAAAUUGCAAAACAUGAAAUUGAAGUUUUGUUAAUCAGUAAAAUUAAAGUACAAUACAGCACUAACAUUUUAAAAACAUUGCUCAGCUGCUUUAUCCUCACAGAUUAUGAUUAUUCAAAAUUUACUUAUUCAAGUGGAAAUAUAAUAGAAAACUGCGAUUGGUUACAAUUAGUAUUAAACAUAGAUUCAGAUUUUGUUGAAAAGCUUACUUUGUUUAACCCUAUAGUAUCAUUUGAAGAAAAAAGCAUAAAACAAUUGAAGCAAAUGAAAACAUUUUUAAGUGAGUUUAGUUUAUUAACUAAUACAAAGGGUCUGAAUCAUAUGGAGAAAAUAACAACUUACGGAAUAACAUUAUUACAUUAUUUUAACGAAGUAAUAAAAAUAAAAUAAAAAUACCACGUAAAAAAAAAAAAAAAAAAAAAAAAAAAAAACAUUUCGGAU